GUGCUUAAAAAGAAGGCAUAGUGGACACAGGAGAACUCUGCAGUUCAUCAGCCUCACAGCUUGGAGGAUGCACAGUGCACUGCCUGAAUAUCAUCCUCAGCCCAGUUGAGGACUGAUUGCCCCACAAACUGCUUAGUGGAGGGUUUUUUGUUUGUUUGUUUCACUAAGCUUCCUCUGCUAUCCUAUUUGUGUGUGUCCCCUGUCCCAAGUUUACAGGGGCCAUUCACAUGACCCAGCUAGUAGGACUUCCUCAACACUGAAAACAGCUGAAGAUGAAAUUGCUUCCAUCUUCUGGGAUAUGGAUUCUUCUCUGCUUUUGCACUGCAAAUGCCACCUGGUGUUUCCAAUGUAGAAAGCCACGAAAAACUGGGCAUUGUCCAGCAAAAAAGGAAUUGUGCUGGGCUGGUGGUGAAGCAGCCUGCUAUACAUUAAACCUAUAUAUUUGUAAGUGGA
This is a long non-coding RNA of Podarcis raffonei (Aeolian wall lizard), 453 nucleotides long. RefSeq lists it as uncharacterized. The transcript has 2 exons. Lineage: Eukaryota; Metazoa; Chordata; Lepidosauria; Squamata; Lacertidae. The record is from RefSeq and is a predicted model, not a curated record.